Selaginella moellendorffii is the source of this 2204-nucleotide RNA transcript. It is a transcript of the gene named probable GTP diphosphokinase CRSH1, chloroplastic, with no coding region annotated. The record is from RefSeq and is a predicted model, not a curated record. The transcript has 8 exons. Lineage: Eukaryota; Viridiplantae; Streptophyta; Lycopodiopsida; Selaginellales; Selaginellaceae.
UGGGCAUUCUUUCUUCUCUAAGUGAGAUUUUAGGGCGCGCGGGGACCGCCGCGACUGCGAUCUCUCGAUUUCCCAGGCGCGCGGAUGAUCGAGGUUUAAGCGGGCAGUAUGUCAUUGUGCACUUCCUCCUCAGGGCACAGCUUUCCCGAGCUUAGAUUCUCGUGUCAUUCGCGGCUAGUGAAGAAAUCCCAGCAUCUCGGCACCAAAUUUUCCCAGGGAGUGUUUCUGGUGGGGUACAAGCAAUCAUGCUCGUGGGGGCAUCACUUUCGCAAGCGAGCUAGAGCAUCGAGGCACGUUAGAGCUUUUUUGCAAGAUGGGAUAGAUUGUGGUGCCACUAGUCCGGAUAGGGAGCCACUUCCCGGUAUUAAAAAAGGAGGAGGAGGAGGAGCUUCUAGGUGGUGCUCCUCGAGUGAUCACAAAGAGACUACGGAGAGAAGUCGAGUUAAGGAGGAAGAGUUUUCGAUCGACGCUGCCAAGCUUCCUCAAGUGUUCCAGCUUCUAUCCGCUUGGGAUACCUUGUCCGAGAGGUUGUCUCCGGAGAUUUUGCAGUGCAAUGGUUCCCAGCUGCUUUUAUCCACGCUGAAAGUCGCAUUACCGGCGUUACAGCUCGCUCCAUACUCUAAAGACGGAAGGUUUCAACUCUCCCGAGCGCUUGCCAUCGCUUACACGCUCGCUGAUCUUCAUAUGGAUGCUGAAGUUAUUGCAUCGGGCAUUCUCCGUGUUGCUAUGGAGACAGAGGUUCUAUCUCUUACUGAUGUGCAACGAGAACUUGGUGCUGGGGCUUUCCACCUUCUUGACGACUCCUUGCGGGUGAAUCAACUCGCUUGUUGUCUAGACAAUCUGGACGAUGAAAACGCCAACAUGCUUCGUGACUUUUCGCUUGCUUAUCACGACAUCCGGGCUAUGGUUGUGGAGCUUGCUUCUCGCCUGGACGAGAUGCGGCACGUCGACUGCCUUCCAAGGCUUCGCCAGCAGAUGGCGGCUCUGGAAAACAUGCAACUCUAUGCUCCUCUGGCUCACGCUCUGGGACUUGGCACUCUAUCUCAGGAACUGGAAGACAUGGCAUUUCGGAUUUUGUUUCCCGAUUCGUACCAGUGCGUCGAGGACUGGCUCCAGAGCCACUGGGGAGACGGAGAAGCUAUUAUCGCGGAGUCUAUAAAGCAACUGAAGGCUGCCUUAGAGGCUGACAGUGUGCUUCAAGGCAUGGUAGAGUCCGUGAAGGUGACAGGCAGGCGUAAGAGUCGAUUCAGCACGAUGAAGAAGCUGCUCAGAGAUGGCCGGGGGCCCGACCAAGUUUACGACAUACUCGGUCUUCGGGUAAUCCUUUUUCCGAAGACUGGUGCUGGAGAGGAAGCUGGCAUUGCGGCUUGCUACAGGGCUCAGAAGAUUGUCACCAAUAUGUGGAAAGAAGUACCAGGGAGAAUGAAGGACUACAUUGCAAAGCCGAAGCUAAAUGGAUACUCGAGCUUGCACUUGGCGGUUUUCUUGACAAAAUACGGUCCAUGGAGUUUGCCUAUGGAGCUUCAAAUCCGAACUUCGGCUAUGCACGCGCAUGCUGUCGCUGGAGGUUCGUCACACGCACUAUACAAAGGAGGCCUUACGGAUCCCCGACAGGUUGAAAAUUUCAAGGCCGUUAUGCUUGCAGCGGCUAAAACUGCUGCGUGCCGGUUUCAAAGUGAUACGGUGUCUGAACCGAAUGCCGAUCACGUUUUUAGAAUGUUCGAUAAAAACAGCGAUGGAAUUAUCAGCAAGGAAGAAUUUCACGAUGUACUUUUACAGCUUGGAGCAGACAAAGGUGACACCUCCGAACUUCUGAGGCUUUUAGACACCAACACAGAUGGAUCUGUUGAUACCAACGAGUUUGCAGAAUUAAAGCGACAGGUUCGAGCUUCUCCACAGAAUAGCCGCCUUAGAUUCCAAAUCCAAAGGAACAAGGACUUCAGCAACAGCUUGCAACAUACAAUCCAGCUUUCAGUAUUUUGAAGUGUAUAUACAACUCUGAGCAUGUAUAGCGACUGUAAUGUACCAUAGAUGACACACAAUAGUUCCCGAGAGAAGAAGUUUUCAUGUAUGCUUUUCAUGAAAUCUUCACAGUUUGGAGAGAAGAAGUCCUUCUCUCUUCGUCUAGUCGGGCAAUUUUGAUACCGAUACUCGAUUGCUCCCCACUUUUGGGAUGCCUCUUUGAAGAGCCAAGUCGCGCGCAU